UACAGAGGGGGCAAGCGUUGUUCGGAAUUACUGGGCGUAAAGGGCGCGUAGGCGGCCUUCUAAGUCGAACGUGAAAUCCCCGGGCUCAACCCGGGAACUGCGUCCGAUACUGGAAGGCUUGAAUCCGGGAGAGGGAUGCGGAAUUCCAGGUGUAGCGGUGGAAUGCGUAGAUAUCUGGAGGAACACCGGUGGCGAAGGCGGCAUCCUGGACCGGCAUUGACGCUGAGGCGCGAAAGCCAGGGGAGCAAACGGG
This 253-nucleotide ribosomal RNA is filed under the name uncultured bacterium. RNAcentral's name for it is "partial 16S ribosomal RNA". It matches the Rfam family "Bacterial small subunit ribosomal RNA", at positions 524 to 776 of the family's 1533-position model. The record is from RNAcentral.